UCUGUAGGCUUGUAAGUGAAGGCCAGUGCGGCAGUCCGGUGGAGCAGGAAACAUUGAAGGGAAAUUUUGAACGAAUGGACCAAGGGUUUAGGACUGCACUCAAAAAAAUCAACGGGCCUGAGGCAUAUCAACAGUAUUCAGAUCAAUUCUACAGAAAAGUUCACUCCCCUAACCAACAAAAAAAUACACAAGGUUCAGAUGAAAGAGGAUGUUCUGCUUUGGAAGAGUCAACCAAUGAAAAAGCUGCAGAAGAAAAACACUGCAUCAGAAAUGAAGAGGUAGAGCAACUGAGUGAGGUUGUGAUAA
Molecule: long non-coding RNA, 306 nt
Organism: Clupea harengus (Atlantic herring)
Lineage: Eukaryota; Metazoa; Chordata; Actinopteri; Clupeiformes; Clupeidae
Source: Ensembl